AUUGAACGCUGGCGGCAGGCCUAACACAUGCAAGUCGAGCGAGCGGCGGACGGGGGAGUAAGGUAGGGGAACUGCCCGAUAGAGGGGGAUCACUACUGGAAACGGUAGCUAAUAACGCAUACUAGCGGCUAACCCAUAUGGGAUUAGCUAGUCGGUGAGGUAAUGGCCCACCUAGGCGCCGAUCCCUAGCUGGUCUGAGAGGAUGAUCAGCCACACUGGGACUGAGACACGGCCCAGACUCCUACGGAGGCAGCAGUGGGGAAUAUUGCGCAAUGGGCGAAAGCCUGAUGCAGCCAUGCCGCGUGUAUGAAGAAGGCCCUAGGGUUGUAAAGUACUUUCAGUCGGGAGGCGUUACCGACAGAAGAAGCACCGGCUAACUCCGUGCCAGCCGCCGCGGUAAUAC
This 403-nucleotide ribosomal RNA is filed under the name uncultured bacterium. RNAcentral's name for it is "partial 16S ribosomal RNA". It matches the Rfam family "Bacterial small subunit ribosomal RNA", at positions 30 to 526 of the family's 1533-position model. The record is from RNAcentral.